RNAcentral lists this ribosomal RNA (468 nucleotides) under uncultured bacterium. RNAcentral describes it as "partial 16S ribosomal RNA". It matches the Rfam family "Bacterial small subunit ribosomal RNA", at positions 28 to 507 of the family's 1533-position model. The record is from RNAcentral.
GACGAACGCUGGCGGCGUGCUUAACACAUGCAAGUCGAACGGAAAGGCCCUGCUUUUGUGGGGUGCUCGAGUGGCGAACGGGUGAGCAACACGUGAGUAACCUGCCCUUGACUUUGGGAUAACUUCAGGAAACUGGGGCUAAUACCGGAUAGGAGCUCCUGCUGCAUGGUGGGGGUUGGAAAGUUUCGGCGGUUGGGGAUGGACUCGCGGCUUAUCAGCUUGUUGGUGGGGUAGUGGCUUACCAAGGCUUUGACGGGUAGCCGGCCUGAGAGGGUGACCGGGGGCGGUGGGGCGGGGGGACGGGCCGGACGGCUACGGGAGGCAGCAGUGGGGAAUAUUGCACAAUGGGCGGAAGCCUGAUGCAGCAACGCCGCGUGCGGGAUGACGGCCUUCGGGUUGUAAACCGCUUUCGCCUGUGACGAAGCGUGAGUGACGGUAAUGGGUAAAGAAGCACCGGCUAACUACGUG